Molecule: ribosomal RNA, 255 nt
Filed under: uncultured bacterium
Lineage: Bacteria
Description: partial 16S ribosomal RNA
Rfam family: Bacterial small subunit ribosomal RNA
Source: RNAcentral
AACCUACGGGAGGCAGCAGUGGGGAAUAUUGGGCAAUGGGCGCAAGCCUGACCCAGCAAUGCCGCGUGAAGGAAGAAGGCCCUCGGGUUGUAAACUUCUUUUGUCAGGGACGAAGCAAGUGACGGUACCUGACGAAUAAGCCACGGCUAACUACGUGCCAGCAGCCGCGGUAAUACGUAGGUGGCAAGCGUUAUCCGGAUUUAUUGGGUGUAAAGGGCGUGUAGGCGGGGAUGCAAGGCAGAUGUGAAAACUUUG